RNAcentral lists this ribosomal RNA (468 nucleotides) under uncultured bacterium. RNAcentral describes it as "partial 16S ribosomal RNA". It matches the Rfam family "Bacterial small subunit ribosomal RNA", at positions 28 to 507 of the family's 1533-position model. The record is from RNAcentral.
GACGAACGCUGGCGGCGUGCUUAACACAUGCAAGUCGAACGGAAAGGCCCUGCUUUUGUGGGGUGCUCGAGUGGCGAACGGGUGAGUAACACGUGAGUAACCUGCCCUUGACUUUGGGAUAACUUCAGGAAACUGGGGCUAAUACCGGAUAGGAGCUCCUGCUGCAUGGUGGGGGUUGGAAAGUUUCGGCGGUUGGGGAUGGACUCGCGGCUUAUCAGCUUGUUGGUGGGGUAGUGGCUUACCAAGGCUUUGACGGGUAGCCAGCCUGAGAGGGUGACCGGCCACAUUGGGACUGAGAUACGGCCCAGACUCCUACGGGAGGCAGCAGUGGGGAAUAUUGCACAAUGGGCGGGAGCCUGAUGCAGCAACGCCGCGUGCGGGAUGACGGCCUUCGGGUUGUAAACCGCUUUCGCCUGUGACGAAGCGUGAGUGACGGUAAUGGGUAAAGAAGCACCGGCUAACUACGUG